UUAAAGGUAGUGCCAAGAAAAGCGAUGAUCAUGUUGAAAAUCAAUUCCCGGUACCCGAAACCGACACAGGUGGGCAAGUAGAGAAUACUAAGGGGCGCGAGGUAACUCUCUCCAAGGAACUCGGCAAAAUGACCCCGUAACUUAGGGAGAAGGGGUGCCACCGAGAGGUGGUCGCAGUGAAGAGGCCCAGGCGACUGUUUAGCAAAAACAUAGGUCUCUGCAAACUCGAAAGAGGAGGUAUAGGGGCUGACGCCUGCCCAGUGCCGGAAGGUUAAAGAAGUUGGUCAGUUUUAGGAUGAAGCUAGCGACUGAAGCCCCGGUGAACGGCGGCCGUAACUAUAACGGUCCUAAGGUAGCGAAAUUCCUUGUCGGGUAAGUUCCGACCCGCACGAAAGGCGUAACGAUCUGGGCGCUGUCUCGGAGAGAGGCUCGGCGAAAUAGGAUUGUCUGUGAAGGUACGGACUACCUGCAUUUGGACAGAAAGACCCUAUGAAGCUUUACUAUAGCUUGGAAUUGUGUUCGGGCUUCCUGUGCGCAGGAUAGGUGGGAGGCGUAGAAGGUAUUCUUGUGGGGAUACUGGAGCCAACGGUGAGAUACCACUCUCAGGAGGCUAGAAUUCUAACUUAAUUAAGGACAGUUUCAGGUGGGUAGUUUGACUGGGGCGGUCGCCUCCAAAAAGGUAACGGAGGCGUACAAAGGUUCCCUCAGACUGGUUGGAAAUCAGUCGAAGAGUGCAAAGGCAGAAGGGAGCUUGACUGCGAGAAGUACAGUUCGAGCAGGGUGGAAACACGGUCUUAGUGAUCCGACGGUGCUGUGUGGAAGGGCCGUCGCUCAACGGAUAAAAGUUACUCUAGGAUAACAGGCUGAUCUCCCCCAAGAGUUCACAUCGACGGGGAGGUUUGGCACCUCGAUGUCGGCUCAUCGCAACCUGGGGCGGAAGUACGUCCCAAGGGUUGGGCUGUUCGCCCAUUAAAGCGGUACGUGAGCUGGGUUCAGAACGUCGUGAGACAGUUCGGUCCAUAUCCGAUGUAGGCGUGAGAAUAUUGAGAGGAGCCUUCCUUAGUACGAGAGGACCGGGAAGGACGCACCGCUGGUGUACCUGUUAUGAUGCCAAUUGUAAACGCAGGGUAGCCAAGUGCGGAGAGGAUAACCGCUGAAAGCAUCUAAGUGGGAAGCCCACCUCAAGAUGAGUAUUCUGGUGUAAGGUCACGGGAAGACGACCCGUAAAUAGGCACGAGGUGGAAGUGCAGAGAUGUAUGAAGCCGAAGUGUACUAAUAGACCGUCGGCUUGACC
Molecule: ribosomal RNA, 1294 nt
Filed under: metagenome
Description: bacterial LSU rRNA
Rfam family: Bacterial large subunit ribosomal RNA
Source: RNAcentral